UCCUUGCCUCGAGUAUUAGGAGCUGCCGU
This 29-nucleotide small RNA is filed under the name Bombyx mori (domestic silkworm). RNAcentral's name for it is "ovarian small RNA-28060". Lineage: Eukaryota; Metazoa; Arthropoda; Insecta; Lepidoptera; Bombycidae. The record is from RNAcentral.